RNAcentral lists this long non-coding RNA (547 nucleotides) under Cicer arietinum (chickpea). RNAcentral describes it as "long non-coding RNA (CARI_LNC003140)". The record is from RNAcentral. Lineage: Eukaryota; Viridiplantae; Streptophyta; Magnoliopsida; Fabales; Fabaceae.
ACGCCUUGAUCAACAACUUGUAAGUAAUUAAACAUCACUUUUAUAUAAUGAAGUAAUUUGUAUUAUAAACUAUAGUGUGUAACUAAUUUGUAUUAUUUUGUUUAUGAUUUUAACGAAUAGAGAAAAGACACCCAAGCCAAUCAACCCUUGGGUCGUCAUAUAUUGUGGAAGGAAGCGCGUGUUAAUAAAGAAGGAGUGGUUGAUAAUGAAAAUGUCAAGAAAGUUGUAGAACUUUGUGUAAGUAUAUUAUCACUUUAAUAUUUUUUAAGAUUGUAUUUUAAAAAUGCUAUUGAACUUAUCUUUUUAAUGUUACAUGUAAUUUAGGAAAUUAUUGAACAAAGUUCUGAAAAUCCGGAGGGCAACAAGGAUACUUGCAGGGACAUUCUUGAGAAAGUGUUUAAUGUCCCUGAGUAUUCCGGUCGAGUUAGGGGGAAAGGAUUUGGCGUAACUCCCAAAAGCUUUUUUCCUCAAGAGAAGCGCCAAAAACCUUCCAACGAGGAAGUAUUAGAGAAGCUCAGAAUCCUAUCGGAGCAAGUGGCACUCUUGG